This is a non-coding RNA of Phyllostomus discolor (pale spear-nosed bat), 691 nucleotides long. The record is from the annotation of a RefSeq genome assembly. Lineage: Eukaryota; Metazoa; Chordata; Mammalia; Chiroptera; Phyllostomidae.
AUUGAGGACUGAAAUAACAAUAACAACGUUUCCUUGGCGGGAACCUUUUGCUGCGGAGUAAUUCAGUCACGUGACUGUGGGGGCUGCCUGACUUCUCUUAUUUCCCUGCCGCCUCCCUCCCGUCAGAGGCCUUAAGGUGGUCUCUGGGGUUUCAGGACCCCAGUUUUACUCUAUAUCCUCUGCUCUGAUAUGAAGAGAAGAUGAUCUGUAUUGUGGGCUUCAACCUUUUGCUUCUCUACAAGGGCAUGCUGUGUGAAAAAGUGACCCAGAGUUCCCCAGACAAGAUCGUAGAAAGUGGCAGUGAGGUGACACUGCCCUGUACUUAUGACUCCGAAUACAUAGAUCCAGAUUUAUACUGGUACCGCAUAAGGCCAGAUCGUUCCUUUCAGUUUGUCCUUUACAGGGAUAACAUUAGGGUCCUUGAUGCGGAUUUUACUCAGGGUCGCUUUUCUGUGCAGCGCAGUCAUACCCACCAAACCUUCAACUUGGUGAUCUCCUCAGUGAGGACUGAAGACAGAGCCACUUACUACUGUGCCAUAAAUCCCCACGGUGAUGCAGGUGCCCAGGAAGUCUGCACAUAAACCCCUGGGCGUGGCCUGGCAGAGCCGCCUAUCAGAGCAGCUCUUGUCCCUGGGCAUGGCAGCCUUCUUCCUGGCGAGGCUGUGUUCCACCUGGCCUUCAGAGGUGCUCU